CUGUAGGCCACCUGAAAAUAAGUUUAAACAAGGUAAUAUGAAAUGAACCUAUAGUUUAUGGAGAAAGAAUGCAUUUAUAUUUGGCCAAGUUCACGACUCCUAACGUCUACUAAAAUUUCCUGCAAACAGAAGUCUAAUGAGGGUCUUGUCGACCAACUUGUCGAUACAGUCAAACGGAUAACGACGUGUUACAGUAUCAGCUGGUUGACAGUAUCUUUUUUCUGUACUUAAACACUUGGAAAAUAACUCGGUUAACUAGUAAAACAUGCAAAUAUGUAACAGGAAUAACUUUCACUGUUUGAAGAAAUUACCUGACACGGUUAGGCCUGCCUCAUUCUCGCUGUCCCUGUUCCUGAACACUACAGUAACCGGGCAUCUGAGAGGUCCUCGAUCCUGUCGCCAAGGAUGAUGAUAAAGACUGAGGAUCCGCCCCUUCGAGAGCAUGUCAUCAAGGUCACUUGACCAGAGGAGGAAGUGAUCCGUCCACUGCCAUCAUCACCCUGGUUUGCAAGUCAUCAGAAUGAGUUGUGCCCAGAGGGUGUCAUCCCAGUGGAACAGAGGAAUACACUUCAGUGAUGAGACACAGUCAUGCCAUGGCUGGCAUCUUCACAGUCACAUGAUGAUGUUUACACAAUAACAAUGGGCUUCUUGUGUUUUCUGAGGUGAACAUAUGGAUAUGGAUCAAAUGGUUUUAACAAAAUCUAAUUGGGUACAACACAAAGAUUGUCUGUCUUGCAAGUGUCCCCCCUUUUUAACAUGAAUGUCCAGUCAUUCAUUAAAGAUGAUAAUAAUGGGUGAAAUAUAUUUGUUCCUGAAUUUAAAUAAUGUACAAAAGCAGAAAUGGGAUUGAUGGUACCUCCACAGCCUUUACCUCUGUUACCAAAAAUAAACAAAAUGUUUUUUUCUUGCUGAUUUAACACACAUUGAGCCAUUCAGUUUCUUGUACCUGUAAUGGUUAACAGUUACAAAUGUUUUCAAUAUUCAGACUGGUCUCAAGAAUGUGAUCAUUCUGAUUAUUUCAGGGUUCUUUUAUCCAGGCCAGGUCCACACAGGAUGAACACAUCUUUUACUGUACUUUCGUUAUUGUACUGUACUUGAUCACUGAACGAUGUUCAAUCUUGUAAAAGAUACUUGUGGUAAGCCUCAUUCUUAUUGUAUAAAAUAAUAAAAGGGUGAAAUCUUAAUGCAGUAUAGAGUUUUUGUAUUUGGUAUUUGUUAAUGCUUUCAUGCAACAAUAACACAUAACAGUUGAAAUAUACUGUACCUAACAAGCAA
This is a long non-coding RNA of Esox lucius (northern pike), 1275 nucleotides long. RefSeq lists it as uncharacterized. NCBI's taxonomy places the organism in Eukaryota, Metazoa, Chordata, Actinopteri, Esociformes, Esocidae. The transcript has 3 exons. The record is from RefSeq and is a predicted model, not a curated record.